ACUUUUAUCUGGGCUGCUGCUCGGGGUCAGUAGGUCACAGAGUGUUUCAGGAGUAUCUCUGAGUACAGUCCUGCAUCAAGAUUGCUCAGAAUGAUGUGCUGACCCUGUGAUUUCCCCACAAGGGGGGAACUCGACUGCAUAAUUUGUGGUAGUGGGGGACUGCGCUUGCGCUCUUCCCUG
RNAcentral lists this small nuclear RNA (180 nucleotides) under Echinops telfairi (small Madagascar hedgehog). Its description in RNAcentral is "U1 spliceosomal RNA (ENSETEG00000022794.1)". It matches the Rfam family "U1 spliceosomal RNA". Rfam says of the family: U1 is a small nuclear RNA (snRNA) component of the spliceosome (involved in pre-mRNA splicing). Its 5' end forms complementary base pairs with the 5' splice junction, thus defining the 5' donor site of an intron. The record is from RNAcentral. Lineage: Eukaryota; Metazoa; Chordata; Mammalia; Afrosoricida; Tenrecidae.